RNAcentral lists this ribosomal RNA (492 nucleotides) under uncultured bacterium. Its description in RNAcentral is "partial 16S ribosomal RNA". It matches the Rfam family "Bacterial small subunit ribosomal RNA", at positions 29 to 507 of the family's 1533-position model. The record is from RNAcentral.
AGUGAACGCUGGCGGUAGGCCUAACACAUGCAAGUCGAACGGCAGCACAGUAAGAGCUUGCUCUUACGGGUGGCGAGUGGCGGACGGGUGAGGAAUACAUCGGAAUCUACUUUUUCGUGGGGGAUAACGUAGGGAAGCUUACGUUAAUACCGCAUACGACCUACGGGUGAAAGCAGGGGAUCUUCGGACCUUGCGCGAUUGAAUGAGCCGAUGUCGGAUUAGCUAGUUGGCGGGGUAAAGGCCCACCAAGGCGACGAUCCGUAGCUGGUCUGAGAGGAUGAUCAGCCACACUGGAACUGAGACACGGUCCAGACUCCUACGGGAGGCAGCAGUGGGGAAUAUUGGACAAUGGGCGCAAGCCUGAUCCAGCCAUACCGCGUGGGUGAAGAAGGCCUUCGGGUUGUAAAGCCCUUUUGUUGGGAAAGAAAAGCAGCAGGUUAAUACCCCGCUGUUCUGACGGUACCCAAAGAAUAAGCACCGGCUAACUUCGUG